This 301-nucleotide ribosomal RNA is filed under the name uncultured bacterium. RNAcentral describes it as "partial 16S ribosomal RNA". It matches the Rfam family "Bacterial small subunit ribosomal RNA", at positions 509 to 807 of the family's 1533-position model. The record is from RNAcentral.
CAGCCGCCGCGGUAAUACGAAGGGUGCAAGCGUUACUCGGAAUUACUGGGCGUAAAGCGUGCGUAGGUGGUGGUUUAAGUCCGUUGUGAAAGCCCUGGGCUCAACCUGGGAAUUGCAGUGGAUACUGGAUCACUAGAGUGUGGUAGAGGAUAGUGGAAUUUCCGGUGUAGCAGUGAAAUGCGUAGAGAUCGGAAGGAACAUCUGUGGCGAAGGCGACUAUCUGGGCCAACACUGACACUGAGGCACGAAAGCGUGGGGAGCAAACAGGAUUAGAUACCCGAGUAGUCCCUGUCUCUUAUAC